Molecule: long non-coding RNA, 256 nt
Filed under: Lathyrus oleraceus (garden pea)
Lineage: Eukaryota; Viridiplantae; Streptophyta; Magnoliopsida; Fabales; Fabaceae
Description: Pisum sativum (pea) long non-coding RNA (PSAT_LNC003852)
Source: RNAcentral
CAUCCCAUUGGUCAGAUAUUUUCAACUCUUAACUUUUAAUUUUAUGCUUAGGAUUAGUAUCUUCAUCUCCCCCACUUCUUAAAAUUCAAAAUCUCUACCCCUUUUCAAAAACCUUUGUUGCUUGUGAUUUCAAACUUUGACCUAUUUCAAAUAGAAACUUUGGCCUUAUGCAAUUGCAUUUUUGAACUCCUUUUCUUAAAAUCAAACUUGUAAAUAAAUCUAAUCAUAUUGACUUAAAAUUUCAAAAGAAAAAAAA